RNAcentral lists this ribosomal RNA (457 nucleotides) under uncultured bacterium. Its description in RNAcentral is "bacterial SSU rRNA". It matches the Rfam family "Bacterial small subunit ribosomal RNA", at positions 340 to 787 of the family's 1533-position model. The record is from RNAcentral.
UACGGAAGGCAGCAGUGGGGAAUAUUGCACAAUGGGCGCAAGCCUGAUGCAGCCAUGCCGCGUGUAUGAAAAAGGCCUUCGGGUUGUAAAGUACUUUCAGUCGUGAGGAAGGUGUUAAGGUUAAUAACCUUAGCAAUUGACGUUAGCGACAGAAGAAGCACCGGCUAACUCCGUGCCAGCAGCCGCGGUAAUACGGAGGGUGCGAGCGUUAAUCGGAAUUACUGGGCGUAAAGGGCACGCAGGCGGUUAAUUAAGUUGGAUGUGAAAUCCCCGGGCUUAACCUGGGAAUGGCAUUCAAGACUGGUUAGCUAGAGUCUUGUAGAGGGGGUAGAAUUCCAUGUGUAGCGGUGAAAUGCGUAGAGAUGUGGAGGAAUACCGGUGGCGAAGGCGGCCCCUGGGACAAAGGACUGACGCUCAUGUGCGAAAGCGUGGGGAGCAAACGAGGGAUUAGACUACC